This 524-nucleotide ribosomal RNA is filed under the name uncultured bacterium. Its description in RNAcentral is "bacterial SSU rRNA". It matches the Rfam family "Bacterial small subunit ribosomal RNA", at positions 21 to 518 of the family's 1533-position model. The record is from RNAcentral.
GGCUCAGGACGAACGCUGGCGGCGUGCCUAAUACAUGCAAGUCGAACGGUCUUUCUAUGGAAGCUUGCUUCCACUGAGAAGAUAGUGGCGAACGGGUGAGUAACACGUGGGUAACCUGCCCAUAAGAGGGGGAUAACAUCCGGAAACGGGUGCUAAUACCGCAUAGUUUUCUUGAUCGCAUGAUCGGGAAAGGAAAGACGGCCUUUGUGCUGUCGCUUAUGGAUGGACCCGCGGCGUAUUAGUUAGUUGGUGAGGUAACGGCUCACCAAGACGAUGAUACGUAGCCGACCUGAGAGGGUGAUCGGCCACAUUGGGACUGAGACACGGCCCAAACUCCUACGGGAGGCAGCAGUAGGGAAUCUUCCGCAAUGGACGAAAGUCUGACGGAGCAACGCCGCGUGAGUGAAAGAAGGUUUUCGGAUCGUAAAACUCUGUUGUCAGAGAAGAACAAGUUGGAGAGUAACUGCUCCAGCCUUGACGGUAUCUGACCAGAAAGCCACGGCUAACUACGUGCCAGCCGCGGC